This 607-nucleotide ribosomal RNA is filed under the name Bacillus sp. P059C. RNAcentral describes it as "bacterial SSU rRNA". It matches the Rfam family "Bacterial small subunit ribosomal RNA", at positions 264 to 862 of the family's 1533-position model. The record is from RNAcentral. Lineage: Bacteria; Bacillati; Bacillota; Bacilli; Caryophanales; Bacillaceae.
CUCACCAAGGCAACGAUGCGUAGCCGACCUGAGAGGGUGAUCGGCCCACACUGGACUGAGACACGGCCCAGACUCCUACGGGAGGCAGCAGUAGGGAAUCUUCCGCAAUGGACGAAAGUCUGACGGAGCAACGCCGCGUGAACGAUGAAGGCUYUCGGGUCGUAAAGUUCUGUUGUCAGGGAAGAACAAGUAUCGGAGUAACUGCCGGUACCUUGACGGUACCUGACCAGAAAGCCACGGCUAACUACGUGCCAGCAGCCGCGGUAAUACGUAGGUSGCAAGCGUUGUCCGGAAUUAUUGGGCGUAAAGCGCGCGCAGGCGGUYCCUUAAGUCUGAUGUGAAAGCCCCCGGCUCAACCGGGGAGGGUCAUUGGAAACUGGGGAACUUGAGUGCAGAAGAGGAGAGCGGAAUUCCACGUGUAGCGGUGAAAUGCGUAGAGAUGUGGAGGAACACCAGUGGCGAAGGCGGCUCUCUGGUCUGUMACUGACGCUGAGGCGCGAAAGCGUGGGGAGCGAACAGGAUUAGAUACCCUGGUAGUCCACGCCGUAAACGAUGAGUGCUAAGUGUUAGAGGGUUUCCGCCCUUUAGUGCUGCAGCAAASGCAUUA